Molecule: long non-coding RNA, 1295 nt
Organism: Triticum aestivum (bread wheat)
Lineage: Eukaryota; Viridiplantae; Streptophyta; Magnoliopsida; Poales; Poaceae
Exons: 7
Source: RefSeq, a predicted model, not a curated record
ACAGUACAUCAUGAUCUGCAUGACAAACUGAGUUGACAAUAUGGCAUCCUCUGAGCAUAGUGGGGCACGUACUCCCUUUCAGGACCUGACGUACAACGGCAAUUCAGGUCAAAAAACAGAUCCAAAAGAACUAAAGAGACAGAGGGAGAGGGAGAGGUAAACAGGGAUGCAAUACUAAAAAAAUAAGACAGGAGGCAAGGGAUCUAAGAAAGUUACGUCUGCUAUUCUAAAUGGAACCAACACUCUAUCUAAGCCACCCGUGGCCAUGUCGCCUGGUUACUCCAUUUUCUCAUACAUUUCAUGAAUCACAAGUAAAGUCGUGUUAAUUAAGUGUUCUUUUGGACAGGUUUUGACACUGUGGACAGGCCCAGGGCGUAGUCUGCUGUCACCCAGCAACGACACACCCCAGCUGUGGAAGGCAUACCUGUUGAUAUGAUAAUGAGUGAUCAGACUCCACUUCAUGCUCCAAAUUCAUUAAGAACAUCAGAUAGUGCCGGUUCUAACAAGGAAAAUGUCCAUAGUAUCGACUCUGACAUUGAGUCCUCCCAACCGACUGUGUUACGACCGCCACUUCAAGCCUACAGAUGCAGCAGUUAAUAUGAAGCAAAACAAGCACUCAAGAGGCAGAGGGAAAGUGCCCGGUAUGAGCAAUAUAAACAAGGUAUAUUACAAAGCCUACAUGACAAACGGCAUCGAGCCAAAUCUACAGUAGUCCUUACAACUGGAGAACAAAAACAAUCCGACACAGCCGAUGAAGAUCGUGAUUGGCUACGGAGCAUCUACAAGUAAGGUCAGGUGGAAGUGUGUUCUUAGAGAAUGCAUGCAUCUCUAACAUGAUAAAGAUCGGUUGCUAUCCGUCCUCAGAUAACACGGAUGCCACACCUGCAUGGGUAUUAAACAGAGCCAAAGAGUAUAUGGAAAAUGAUACGAUAUUCAUUCCAAUAAACAUGGACGAAGUUCACUGGUACCUAUGUGUUAUAAAUGCCAGAAAACUAUGUGUUCAAGUGCUCGACUCGCUAGGCCCAUCAAUGAACCGCAAGGACCUCACUAAUACGCUAGAAGGACUGGUUGAUUUAUUCAAAUAUGCAUCCGAGCACAUGGAAUUAAAAUCCGAUAAGUGGACUGAUCUAAAUGUUACAACAUGGAAAAGAGAAGAAUAUACUAAGAGCAGUCUUCAGACGGAUGGGCACGCCUCCUAAUAUAACUCAGACCAUUUAUGCUUAACAGGGUACAUUUGGUAUGCUAUUAUGUUUAUUUUUUUCACUGCUUAGCACUCCUGAAGCACAUUUCAUCAA